This 708-nucleotide ribosomal RNA is filed under the name Enterobacter hormaechei. Its description in RNAcentral is "bacterial SSU rRNA". It matches the Rfam family "Bacterial small subunit ribosomal RNA", at positions 54 to 749 of the family's 1533-position model. Lineage: Bacteria; Pseudomonadati; Pseudomonadota; Gammaproteobacteria; Enterobacterales; Enterobacteriaceae. The record is from RNAcentral.
CAUGCAAGUCGAACGGUAACAGGAAGCAGCUUGCUGCUUCGCUGACGAGUGGCGGACGGGUGAGUAAUGUCUGGGAAACUGCCUGAUGGAGGGGGGAUAACUACUGGAAACGGUAGCUAAUACCGCAUAACGUCGCAAGACCAAAGAGGGGGACCUUCGGGCCUCUUGCCAUCGGAUGUGCCCAGAUGGGAUUAGCUAGUAGGUGGGGUAACGGCUCACCUAGGCGACGAUCCCUAGCUGGUCUGAGAGGAUGACCAGCCACACUGGAACUGAGACACGGUCCAGACUCCUACGGGAGGCAGCAGUGGGGAAUAUUGCACAAUGGGCGCAAGCCUGAUGCAGCCAUGCCGCGUGUAUGAAGAAGGCCUUCGGGUUGUAAAGUACUUUCAGCGGGGAGGAAGGCGAUAAGGUUAAUAACCUUGUCGAUUGACGUUACCCGCAGAAGAAGCACCGGCUAACUCCGUGCCAGCAGCCGCGGUAAUACGGAGGGUGCAAGCGUUAAUCGGAAUUACUGGGCGUAAAGCGCACGCAGGCGGUCUGUCAAGUCGGAUGUGAAAUCCCCGGGCUCAACCUGGGAACUGCAUUCGAAACUGGCAGGCUAGAGUCUUGUAGAGGGGGGUAGAAUUCCAGGUGUAGCGGUGAAAUGCGUAGAGAUCUGGAGGAAUACCGGUGGCGAAGGCGGGCCCCCUGGACAAAGACUGACGCUCA